Molecule: long non-coding RNA, 3333 nt
Organism: Gasterosteus aculeatus aculeatus (three-spined stickleback)
Lineage: Eukaryota; Metazoa; Chordata; Actinopteri; Perciformes; Gasterosteidae
Source: Ensembl
GGCAACGCAUCGGGCGAAGCAUCGGGCGACGCAUUGGGCGGAGCAUCGGGCGGAGCAUCGGGCGGAGCAUUGGGCGACGCAUUGGGCGGAGCAUCGGGCGACGCAUUGGGCGGAGCAUCGGGCGACGCAUUGGGCGGAGCAUCGGGCGACGCAUCAGGCGAAACAUUGGGCGACGCAUUGGCCGAUGCAUUGGCCGAUGCAUCGGGCGGAGGGCAUCAGUCGGGUUGGAGACGGAGUGGCCCGGUCCCCCUAACAACCGGCCGGCCCGGGCAGGGCGGCGACAUGGAGGAGCCGCAGUAGUUCAGGUCGUUGUUUCAGGGGAGCUUUGAGCUUCGUCGUGUCCUGUUUCCGUUGUGUUUUUAAACUAAGUGGACGUAGCGGCUCGUUCACGUUAUCGUCUCUCUUCUCUCAAACGUUCCCACAGCGAUGCUGAAGAGAAGAAAGAACACUAAGGGUUCACGUGUUCCCUUCGCCGGUCGGUAAGCCCCGCCCCCGACCAUGGACGCAGACAAGACGAAGCGCCAACGUUCAUUUCUGUCAAAUGAACAUCGCACCACCAAAAAUGAUCAUUGUCCUACAUUGUGCGAUAUGUCAUAUAUUGCAUAUGGCGACCUACUGAAGAGGACUCAGCAAGACAGAAAAGUGAAGGGACAUAUAGACAGACAAGGCCAGGAGACAGACAGGUACAGACUCACCUGAGAGCACAGGCCCUGACACUGGGAGAGAGAUACAUUUGGCGUUGUCCUCCACUGGUCCAGUCAUGUGACUCCUUAGCUCCGUCAGAUUGGCUGAAGAGCUUCAGGACUCUGUUGACGGCACCCCACGAACACCUCACCUGUCCUCCGAUGGACAGUCAGGUGUGUGAGGGGAGGAGUCAAAGGCCCGGUACACCACCCUGCCCGACGCCACGGAGGGGGAGGGAGAUGCAGCCGGGGCAGAGAGGAGGGGGGAGGAGAGGAGCAUAGGGGAAAGGAGGAGGAAGAGGUGGAGCGGAGAGGCACAAGGAAGCAUGGUGGAAAGAGAGGAGGAGAGGAGGGAGGAGAAGGUUGGCUGCAGGUCUGACGAAGAGUCAACUUCAAAGGAGCAUCAUGACUGUGGAGAGAGAAACAUUGAUUUAACUACACGCAGUCUACCUCAUCCUUAUCAUCACAUGUCAUUUAUCUGACGCUUUUAUCCAAAGCGACUUACAAUAAGAACAUUUCAACCAUAAGGACACAAACUCAGAAGAACAAGAAACAAGAAAGUGUGAUUUCAUCAAAUAAGCCAGUUUACAACUCGCUGUAGAUAAGAACCAUUAUGAGUCCAAUGUCAGUGCUACAGUUAGUUAGUGUGUUAGUGGAGGUAGAGUCUGAAGAGGUGUGUCUUUAGUCUGAAGAUGUGAAGGCUCUCUGUGGUCCUGAUGUCUUCAGAGACCUCCUUCCACCAUUUAGGAGCAGGACAGCAAAGAGUGGAGAUCUAGUGGAGUGUUUUGCUCUCAGUGAGGAGAAACAAGCAGUUUAUCACAUGCAGAGCGGAGAGUGCGGUCGGGGUGUCGGGUUGGACCAGGUCCUGGAUGUAAGCUGGACCCCAUCCAUUCACAGCGUGAUACGUGAGCACCAGUGUUCUGAACUGUGAUUAGUUGGUGUCAUCGGCAUCGCUGUGGUAGGAGAAGCCAUGCGAGCGAAUGACAGCGCAGAGAGAGUUGGUGUAGAGCGAGAAGAGGAGGAGACCCAGGACGGAACCCUGAGGAACUCCAGUAGUAAGAGGACAAGGUUCCGACACAGAUCCUCUCCAGGUUACCCGGUAGGUGCGGCCGUCGAGGUAGGACGAGAGAAGCGAGAGAGCAGAGCCUGAGACACCAAGUUCCUGAAGGGAGGAGACGAGGAUCUGCUGGUUGACUGUGUCAAAUGCAGCAGAGACGUCCAGAAGGACGAGGACAGAGGAGAGAGAGGAGCUCUAGCACCUCAGGUCUACCGCUGGUUUAGAGCAUCUUAUUAGUUACAAUUAGCUCUCACACAGCGUGUCGAGUGUGUUCCAGGCCAGUUGUUGAUCUGCUUCAGUCCGUCUCAUCUCUGAAUUCUCACAAAGCUCCAGUAACACGGAGCUCGACGGACACACGCAUUACUCCCAGAUGGUGUUAGUGAUGAUCAAUAAUGUUAUUAUCAAACAACAAUAUUCUUAAUUUUAAAUGUGCUCAAGACUUGAAGAAGUAAAAACAUCUGAAUGAUAAAAUGUGUUUACAACUUAAGACAUGUUUGACUUCUCUCUGCUGCUCCUUGAUGGAGCUCUGACACGCUGCUAAAGACACACACACACACACACACACACACACACACACACACACACACUCUCCCUCUCUGGACUCCCUUCAGCUCAGCAGACUAAUUAACUAAUGGGCUGAUCUUUCACUGCCUCUUUGUGUUCACCCGUGCGUGUCUGUGUGUGUGUGUCUGUGUGUGUGUGUGUGUGUGUGUGUGUGUUUGCAGACAGGCAGCUGGGCAGACAGACUGGACCACGAUGUCAUCAGACCAUCCAUCACCUUACUGAGUGUGUGUGUGUGCGCUAACGUGAAGCUAACCGCUAACCCGAGCUCAUGCUGCGUCGGUAGAUGGAUGGAUACACACUUUAUUAAUCCCUGAUAGCAGCAACACAGUAAAUAAAAUGAGAAGAGCAGAACAUAUUACAUUAAAUUAGUGAAGGUGAGACAGGAGUGUGUACAGUUAAAUGAGAAAAUGAAAGACAGUAGUGCAGUGUGAUGAUAUUUGUUGUUCAAAUAUACAAGGAUUCAUCCAGAGGUACUACGCUGUGUUCUGUUGGCAGGAAUGUUUUCCUGUAUCCGUCCGUGUGACGGCGGAGCUGCAUCAGCCUGUUGGAGAAGAUGCUCCGUGUCGCAGCAGUAGGUGGUGAAGAGGCUGGUCCCUGUUUUCAGUGUCCUCCUCCCCACCACCUGUUCAGGAUGCUCCUGUUGGCAGCCAAUGAAGCAGUGUUCAUUUUGGCAGCUAUUUUUGAUUUAGUCUUUAUACGAAAAAUGCAUAUUGUAUUACAUUUGGUCAUUUUAAUCCUUCUUAGUUUUAGUCCCAUUUAACAUCCACAUUAAACUCAUUUUCUUCCCUUCUCAGGCCCAGAGACCCCUGUGGUGUGUCUACAGCUGCAUAAUAGUCCAGCUUGCAGUACUUGGUUGUCCAUCAGAUGUCCCUCCUAGGACAGGCCUAUAGAUGUCCCUCCUAGGACAGGCCUAUAGAUGUCCCUCCUAGGACAGGCCUAUAGAUGUCCCUCCUAGGACAGGCCUAUAGAUGUCACUCCUAGGACAGGCCUAUAGAUGUCCCUCCUAGGACAGGCCUAUAGAUGUCCCUC